Molecule: long non-coding RNA, 634 nt
Organism: Suricata suricatta (meerkat)
Lineage: Eukaryota; Metazoa; Chordata; Mammalia; Carnivora; Herpestidae
Exons: 3
Source: RefSeq, a predicted model, not a curated record
UACAAUGAGCUACACGGAGGAUUGUGUUAGCAGUCCUCUAACCCAGGGAUGCCUCUAGUUCAUGAAACUCCGGAUGAAAGACAAGGGGAUAGUAAAGAGACCUCUAAGCCAGGCCUCCUGCACAGCUUACUACCCUUAAAUCCCCUGGUGGCCAAGUACCCAGGAAGCAACCAGCUACAAAGCGGCUUGCAAGAGCGCGCCCUCUCCUGGAGUAAGGAAGAAACCGCACUGUUAGGGGUCUGGUACUGAGGCCCUCCACAGAUGUGUCCAGAAGUUCAAUGCAAUGGCAAACUUCCCUUGCACAGUCUGGUGUGAGACUUUGCUCAAGAACUUCAAGACAUAUCUGUGCUUCCAGAGUGUGGCUCUUGGUGCUUUGCAGGAGACAAGUGAGCUCUCUUGAAAGAAGUGCCGUACUUAACCAUCCAGUACAUUUUAUAAGAUGACCAUCUUCACCUUUACAAAGAGGCGGCACAAACUAGUCCACACAGGGAAAAGAAACAGGAAGACUAAUGUUUUAGUAGGAGACACACUUCCGGCUUGGGAUCCAGGAACAAAUCAGAUGUUUUUUCCUCACAGGGCAUCAUCAAGAGCCUUGUGUACUUGUCUAAUCAUUCAUAUCUAUAUUGUGUGGUAG